Molecule: long non-coding RNA, 2075 nt
Filed under: Marmota monax (woodchuck)
Lineage: Eukaryota; Metazoa; Chordata; Mammalia; Rodentia; Sciuridae
Source: RNAcentral
GUGGGAGCUGCCCACUCAGCCUGGGACUCCCAGGGCUGCAGCCGCCCGCCCGCCCGCCACGCCUGCGCUCGGGCCAGCCCCCUCCCAGCGCUUUGGAGGAGGGCUGGGAGAGCUCAGCCCGCGGUCAGCUCCGGGGUCAGCGCAGUGUCUUGCGUUAGCGAGAGGAAGCCCCAAGUGCCCUCACUGCCCCUCCACCAAGGAGCCCAGGCCCCACGUCACGCCCCGGAGAAGAGGACCCUUCCCCUCCCCGUGGGUGCGACCCUUCCCCUCCCUGUGGGUGCGACCCUUCCCCUCCCCGUGGGUGCGACCCUUCCCCUCCCCGUGGGUGCCGCCCCUUCCCCUCCCCGUGGGUGCCACACAUUCUCACCGGGCUGCUCCAGGAGAGUCAGUGCCCCGAGUGGCCUGGCGGAGAGAGCCUGGCUGCGUGACACCCCAGGGACUCUAGACCUCAGGGAACCCCAGAGGCCAGUCCCUGCAGCGGAGGGAAGGAGGGCACGGUAGGCAGGGACACACCUAGGCCUCUGCUGCGUCUCCCGGCUCUGGCCACUCGGGGCAGCCCUGCCGUGGCUGGCGUGUGCCCGCCUCACCUGUGUCAAGGCCACACCUGCUGCUUGUCAAUGGCCUCAGAGGAAGCCUUCUUGUCCCCACAGGGGCGUCACCACGGAGCCCCUGAUGUAAGGACUUCCCACACUGCUCAUUGCCACCCACAGCUCAUGGCCUGCCUAGGACCAUGGGGGCCAGGACAGUGUCCAUUCUGCAAAGCCAGUGGGCACCACUCUGGGCGCUGUCCUGAGACAUUGCCGGGUGGGUUCUGCAGGACACCCUGGAGCGUGGCCCCUCUGUGUGUGGCCUUGCUGCAGACCCCUUUAAACAGCUGGGCGUGGAGUCCAGUGUGGGAGUGUUGGGUCUGAAGGUUGGGAGCUGCCUUCUGUGGAGGUGAAGGAAGGCGUGGGCAGGGACUGUCCCCAUGUCAAGGCUCCCUGGGUUCUUGUGGUUGUCCCUCAACAAGCAUUUGCUGAGCACCAACUGUGUACCUGGAGUUGCUGUGGGUGAUGCAGCCAAGGCGAACAGACAUGGCUGUCCUGAAGGGGACAAGCCCGAGGCGGUUCUGGGGGCUGGCCCAGGGGGCUGCAGGCUCUGCAGGAGGGCAGCCAUGGGGCCUGGGCAGCCCUGCCCUGCUGCAGAGGGAGUGCCGGCCAUGUGGCACGUCCUGGCUGGGGUCGUCCUGUGGGGGUGGCCCACCCUCUGGCUCCUAAGAUGGCCAGGCAUGGGGUUGACAUGGGCCCCUGGCAGGGCUCCUGAGCCUUGGCCUGCUGCCCAGCCAAGGCCUCACCGGCUGUGCAGUGCCCUCGGGCGCCCUGGGCUGUGGGACAGUUCCCAGGGGCGAGGAGGCAGCGGGGGACCUUGGCCUCUCUGCUGCUGGCUCAUCUGCGUGACACUGAGAGAAAACACCCCUGAGAGGCCCGUGUCUGUCGGCCCUGCGCCAUGUCACCUCCGGGAACAGUGCCGUGUGCAUUUCGUGCUCACAGAUGUGGAUGCUGAGGCUGCCCACUCGGGGCUUCAGCAGCUGGGCACUGACCAUCCCGGGAUGGGGCAGGGUCGGUGCACCGGCAGGAUGAGACGCCUGGGCCUGGGGAUCGUGCAGAUCUCCAGGGGCCUGUGGCCAGCCAGGAAAACCUGGGUGGGGCUGUGGAGCACAUCAGGACCCACAGAGUGGACUCCAGACCCAGGCCAGUGGGCCUGAGGCCAGGGCCCCUACCCGCUGGGCCUUGGCUUCCUCACCUGCCCAGGGUGGGGUUGAAACGCAGCGAUGUGCACAGAGAGCUCGGGGCGGAGGUGCGAGGUGGGGACUCUGGCCACGCUGACACCCAUCAUUGCUGGUCAGGGCCCAGGGGAGCCUCCCAGCUCGUGACCCGCAGAGGCCACGGCAGGUCUGGAGGGAGCACAGCCAGUCCAACAGGCGCCCACAGAAACCAGAGGCCCCUCCCUGGAGGGUUCUGGAACCCCAGGCCAGGAGUACUGGGCUGUGGCCAGUUCCUGGCUGGGCAGGGCGGGCUGGGAACUGCGCCGACGGG